This 464-nucleotide ribosomal RNA is filed under the name uncultured bacterium. RNAcentral's name for it is "partial 16S ribosomal RNA". It matches the Rfam family "Bacterial small subunit ribosomal RNA", at positions 28 to 506 of the family's 1533-position model. The record is from RNAcentral.
GACGGACGCUGGCGGCGUGCUUAACACAUGCAAGUCGAACGGAAAGGCCCCAGCUUGCUGGGGUACUCGAGUGGCGAACGGGUGAGUAACACGUGGGUGAUCUGCCCUGCACUCUGGGAUAAGCCUGGGAAACUGGGUCUAAUACCGGAUAGGACCGUGCUUUAGUGUGUGCGGUGGAAAGUUUUUCGGUGCAGGAUGAGCCCGCGGCCUAUCAGCUUGUUGGUGGGGUAAUGGCCUACCAAGGCGGCGACGGGUAGCCGGCCUGAGAGGGUGUACGGCCACAUUGGGACUGAGACACGGCCCAGACUCCUACGGGAGGCGGCAGUGGGGAAUAUUGCACAAUGGGCGCAAGCCUGAUGCAGCGACGCCGCGUGGGGGAUGACGGCCUUCGGGUUGUAAACCCCUUUCGGCAGGGACGAAGCUUUUGUGACGGUACCUGCAUAAGAAGCACCGGCUAACUACGU